CAACGGAUGGGAGAAUCGCGCGGUAUCCGUUGCAUGAGGUGGAGCAGGAUCGCGGCCGUUUAUCGUGGCCUGUCAGGUAGUAAUGGAGCCGCGUGGGAUCCGUCGUAGGGAGUGGAGCAGUGCUGCGAUCGUUACUGCGGCCUGUCAGGGAGUGGUGGAGCUGCGCGGAAUCCGCCGCAGGAAGUGUAGCAGAAUCGUGGCCGUGAUUGUGGCCUGGGAGUGCAGAUCCGUCGGCUGAAGUUCGGCUAUGGUCGGAGU
This 258-nucleotide long non-coding RNA is filed under the name Elaeis guineensis (African oil palm). RNAcentral's name for it is "long non-coding RNA (EGUI_LNC030193)". Lineage: Eukaryota; Viridiplantae; Streptophyta; Magnoliopsida; Arecales; Arecaceae. The record is from RNAcentral.